This 579-nucleotide ribosomal RNA is filed under the name Dichaetomyia bibax. RNAcentral describes it as "partial 12S ribosomal RNA". The stretch from base 385 to 456 matches the Rfam family "tRNA". The record is from RNAcentral. Lineage: Eukaryota; Metazoa; Arthropoda; Insecta; Diptera; Muscidae.
UAAAAAAUUUGGCGGUAUUUUAGUCUAUUCAGAGGAACCUGUUUUGUAAUCGAUAAUCCACGAUGGACCUUACUUAAAUUUGUAAUCAGUUUAUAUACCGUCGUUAAUUAGAAAAUUUUAUAAGAAAAUUAAUUUUUAAAAUUUUAAAAUGGAAAAUAUAUCAGAUCAAGGUGUAGCUAAUAUUUAAGAAAUUAUGGGUUACAAUAAAAUUAUUUAAAUAGAUAUAAAUUUGAAAAAUUUAUUGAAAUUGGAUUUGGUAGUAAAUUUAUAAAGAUUAUUAAAUUGACUUUAGCUCUAAAAUAUGUACACAUCGCCCGUCACUCUUAUUAUUAAGGUAAGAUAAGUCGUAACAUAGUAGAUGUACUGGAAAGUGUAUCUAGAAUGCAAUUUAAAACUUAAAUAGUAAAGUAUUUCAUUUACAUUGAAAAGAUUUUUGUGCAAAUCAAUAUAAAUUGAUUAAAUUUUAUUUAUUAAUUAUUAUUAUUAUAUAUUUAUAUAUAUAUAUAUACAUAAUUUAUAUUAUUAAAAAUAAUUAUAAUUGAAUAAAGUUUUAGUAUUUUAUAAAGAAAUAAUAAUUUU